Molecule: ribosomal RNA, 514 nt
Filed under: Aspergillus niger
Lineage: Eukaryota; Fungi; Ascomycota; Eurotiomycetes; Eurotiales; Aspergillaceae
Description: eukaryotic LSU rRNA
Rfam family: 5.8S ribosomal RNA (bases 130-283)
Source: RNAcentral
UCGGCGGGCCCGCCGCUUGUCGGCCGCCGGGGGGGCGCCUCUGCCCCCCGGGCCCGUGCCCGCCGGAGACCCCAACACGAACACUGUCUGAAAGCGUGCAGUCUGAGUUGAUUGAAUGCAAUCAGUUAAAACUUUCAACAAUGGAUCUCUUGGUUCCGGCAUCGAUGAAGAACGCAGCGAAAUGCGAUAACUAAUGUGAAUUGCAGAAUUCAGUGAAUCAUCGAGUCUUUGAACGCACAUUGCGCCCCCUGGUAUUCCGGGGGGCAUGCCUGUCCGAGCGUCAUUGCUGCCCUCAAGCCCGGCUUGUGUGUUGGGUCGCCGUCCCCCUCUCCGGGGGGACGGGCCCGAAAGGCAGCGGCGGCACCGCGUCCGAUCCUCGAGCGUAUGGGGCUUUGUCACAUGCUCUGUAGGAUUGGCCGGCGCCUGCCGACGUUUUCCAACCAUUCUUUCCAGGUUGACCUCGGAUCAGGUAGGGAUACCCGCUGAACUUAAGCAUAUCAAUAAAGCGGAGGAA